ACAUGCAAGUCGAACGGCAGCGCGGGGCAACCUGGCGGCGAGUGGCGAACGGGUGAGUAAUACAUCGGAACGUACCCAGAAGUGGGGGAUAACGUAGCGAAAGUUACGCUAAUACCGCAUACGUUCUACGGAAGAAAGUGGGGGACCUUCGGGCCUCAUGCUUUUGGAGCGGCCGAUGUCUGAUUAGCUAGUUGGUGAGGUAAAGGCUCACCAAGGCGACGAUCAGUAGCUGGUCUGAGAGGACGACCAGCCACACUGGGACUGAGACACGGCCCAGACUCCUACGGGAGGCAGCAGUGGGGAAUUUUGGACAAUGGGCGCAAGCCUGAUCCAGCAAUGCCGCGUGAGUGAAGAAGGCCUUCGGGUUGUAAAGCUCUUUUGUCAGGGAAGAAACGGCCGAGGCUAAUACCUUUGGCUAAUGACGGUACCUGAAGAAUAAGCACCGGCUAACUACGUGCCAGCAGCCGCGGUAAUACGUAGGGUGCAAGCGUUAAUCGGAAUUACUGGGCGUAAAGCGUGCGCAGGCGGUUUUGUAAGUCUGACGUGAAAUCCCCGGGCUCAACCUGGGAAUUGCGUUGGAGACUGCAAGGCUGGAGUCUGGCAGAGGGGGGUAGAAUUCCACGUGUAGCAGUGAAAUGCGUAGAGAUGUGGAGGAACACCGAUGGCGAAGGCAGCCCCCUGGGUCAAGACUGACGCUCAUGCACGAAAGCGUGGGGAGCAAACAGGAGUAGAUACCCUGGUAGUCCACGCCCUAAACGAUGUCUACUAGUUGUCGGGUCUUAAUUGACUUGGUAACGCAGCUAACGCGUGAAGUAGACCGCCUGGGGAGUACGGUCGCAAGAUUAAAACUCAAAGGAAUUGAC
Molecule: ribosomal RNA, 863 nt
Filed under: Massilia sp.
Lineage: Bacteria; Pseudomonadati; Pseudomonadota; Betaproteobacteria; Burkholderiales; Oxalobacteraceae
Description: bacterial SSU rRNA
Rfam family: Bacterial small subunit ribosomal RNA
Source: RNAcentral